UCCAUGUUCAUCAGUGGAAUCAAAGUUCUGAUCCCAUAGCCAAACGUACAGAUAAACAGUGACCCAGUGAAGGUUCCAUCAGACAGGAUGAAAGCCAGAUCCCUCCAGUCCUCCGGCACAGGAAGGCCGCUCGCUCCACCGAGUCCACGGGCGAUCGGCCAGCUGUGACAGCAGCGAGCAGCGGAGACGACAAUGGCGACUCCGACUCCGGGUAAGAGCUUUGUUUCAGUCUCGUGCACCACAUCAAACCCCUUGACGAUCAAACUGUGGAUGAUUCGCCUUGGCACUUAAUUAUUAGUACGUAGUUCAUUAGUACGGUUCCCCAGUAGCUGAACUCCUACCCCAUAAGAUAAGAUGCCCUGAACCCAGGCGGGGCGUGACGUCUCUGUCGGAGCUGCACACGUGUGCGUGUUGUUGUAACCAACAUGUGUGCAGGUGCAGUGACAGCUGGGAGCUCUACGUGCUGCUGCUGCUCUGGCUGCUGCUCUACUGCUUCUGGCUGCUGCCCCAGAUGGACCUGAAGACACUUCCCAGCCUGCUGCUCAACCUGGAGCCCUGAACGCACACACACACACACACACACACACACACACACGUAAAGCACCACCACCAAAUCGCACACUACAGUCCUGAAGAGGAGGAGUUGUUUUAGCUUUGUGCUGUGCAGCUUUCCAUGUGGCUCGGAGGCGUCUGUAUCUCCACGUUCUGGGGAAUAUUAUGAGAAAAGCGUUGUCGUUUUACAGGAUGAAAAGUCAUAACUUAUCAACAAUAACGUUUGAACUAUUCGUUAAGUCAGAUUAAAAGAAAUACUUGUAUUAUUAGAAACUGGGCUUUUAUUUUAGGAGUCUAUGGUUUUGAGAAAAGUCAGUGCUGUUAAAGUAAAUGUAAAAUAUUUUUGUGUUAUUAGAUUUUGUUUUAUGAUCAUUAUUAUUCAAAUAUAAAGAAACAAUAUCAUCGUAGUUAUAGAUCGUAGCCAAAGACCUGUAAUAAACAACCAGAAGCGAGACGUUUUCCUUCUUAAAGGUGUGACUUUAUUUAACAUUAGAACUUCUUCUCAUGACGUUGUUGUUUUGGUCCAAAUGUUGCAGUUAAAAUGGGAAAACCUGAUUUGUAAUUUACGACGGUUCAAAGGCGACACAACUGACAUUGUGAGACAACACGUACAGCACUCUGAUUGGUACAUGGAGAUAUAUACUAUGGACUCAUGGACUGAAUAGCCAUUUAAAGUGAAAGUGCUUUAAGCUGAGGGAGAUUAGAACAUUCAAACAUGCAAACCUGUAGGUGAUCUGAAGGUAACUAAUGAAGGGGGAUUUUGAUCCGUUGCACAUCGUGAAAAAGAAUCAGAACUGCCAAAGAAAUGCUUGAGAGAUGAGUAUAAGACAUAUGCAUUAACGAUAUGCAUACGCUCAAUACGGUAUCCGUGCCAACGAAAAGUACACAACAACCUGUUUUUAACAAAGUCAAUCUGGUACUAAAGCUCCGCCCCAGUGGCUCUAUAUUGUAUCAUAGUCGAGCAGAACAUGUAUUUGUAAUAUUUUGUGUCUUAUAAUGGAUUUUUAACGUUUUAUUGUAAAGAAAUGUUUUAUGUGAUUGAGACUUGCUUGUGAAAAGAGAAUGCUUUACGAUGAAAUAUCUUUAUAUACAUAUAUGCUAUUUUUGAACAUUGUCUGACAGAGCGCGCCUCCUUCACCCCGUCCUUCCUCCACCCGCACUCGGCCGGGUCAUCGUCAGCCCGUCUCCCGUGUGAGUGCUGGACGUCCGGUUGCACUUUAACCCUCGUUAGAGCCAAACUGUGUCCCUUCUAUUGAUCAGCAUAAAGCACACAUGCAACUGUCUGUGGAACACGUGAAGCGCCUGCCAAUGUUACCGUGCUGCUGGGAAGGAACUGAGAAGGAACGCUCAUGAAAUGAUGCAUUAGCUUCGCUAUUAUGUAUGAAUGUUUUGCCUUUUUGUCAGAUGUGUUUAUAAAAAAAAUAGUUCCUCACUAAAAAAAGUUCCUUUUUUUUUUAUAUAUUCUUUUACCAAAUGAGUUUGUAGUAAUACCUUCUGCACUAUACUGUCUCUGAAUAGACCUUUGAGUCACCCUGACGGGAAGGGGACACAGCUCCGUUUACAAAAGAGGUCCAAGGGCUCGAGGAGCUUCACGUCCACCCGUGGAGGUCAGGCUGAAGGUCCUAUUCAGGCCCCUCAGGUUCCAGCCUCUUUCACCACAAAUGAAUCACACCUCCACACGCUGCUGCCCGCCACAUGUGUCCGGUGCCUUCAACAAAAACAUGUCCAACCACCGGGACAGUCCCUUGAGUCUGAGACAAAAGGGCAGUUUGAGGUCUUUACAAGGGGACUGUGUGUGUCUUUGUGUCUCCUCCACCCAGAGGACUAACCUAGACGCACAUAUUGGCUUAGUCAUUGCAAAUGUUUCAUCAGCACCAGUGGACUGCGAUUAAAGACGUGUCUCAAAG
Molecule: long non-coding RNA, 2459 nt
Organism: Gasterosteus aculeatus aculeatus (three-spined stickleback)
Lineage: Eukaryota; Metazoa; Chordata; Actinopteri; Perciformes; Gasterosteidae
Source: Ensembl